RNAcentral lists this ribosomal RNA (127 nucleotides) under uncultured bacterium. RNAcentral describes it as "partial 16S ribosomal RNA". It matches the Rfam family "Bacterial small subunit ribosomal RNA", at positions 382 to 507 of the family's 1533-position model. The record is from RNAcentral.
UCUGANCAGCCAUCUCGCGUGAAGGAAUACGGCCCUACGGGUCUUAAACUUCUUUUAUAGGGGGAAAAAGUCGCAUACGUGUAUGUGAUUGCAGGUACCCUAUGAAUAAGCAUCGGCUAACUCCGUG